This 403-nucleotide ribosomal RNA is filed under the name Phaeocollybia lugubris. RNAcentral describes it as "eukaryotic LSU rRNA". The stretch from base 64 to 217 matches the Rfam family "5.8S ribosomal RNA". The record is from RNAcentral. Lineage: Eukaryota; Fungi; Basidiomycota; Agaricomycetes; Agaricales; Phaeocollybiaceae.
AAAAAUGUAACAGAAUGUUAAAUCUUAUGGGCCUUUGCGCCUAUAAACAAAAAAAAAUUAUACAACUUUCAGCAACGGAUCUCUUGGCUCUCGCAUCGAUGAAGAACGCAGCGAAAUGCGAUAAGUAAUGUGAAUUGCAGAAUUCAGUGAAUCAUCGAAUCUUUGAACGCACCUUGCGCUCCUUGGUAUUCCGAGGAGCAUGCCUGUUUGAGUGUCAUUAAAUUCUCAAAAAAACCUUUGGUAAUAUUAUUAUCAAAUGGCUUUCUUGGAUGUGAGGGUUUGUUGGCGAAAGUCAACUCCCUUGAAAAGCAUUAGCUUGGUUGACUGGACUUAUGUCUAUUUGGUGUGAUAAUUAUCUACGCCGUUGGAUUGUCUGUUUGUCAAACUGCUUCUAAUUGUCUCG